CCUGCAGGAUGUUGUGUUCAAGAUAAGUAAUUCAUUGUUCCUCUGCACUGCAUUACUGCUCUAGGUGAACAAUGAAGCACUUGUUGAAUUAACUUGCAAUCAUAUUCCUCUUACACACUUUUAAACACUGCCUAUCAGCCAUCACAACUCAAUGGCAUCCUGUUCCCCUCACCUCCAGGUUGGUGAAGAAGAGUGGGUACAGCUCCUCCAUGGAACCCAGAGCCUCCUCCGGGAAACACAGGAUGAAAUUGCCACACGCCACACAAGCAGCUGAUGGAGGAGAGCUUGUUACUGAUUACAGAUCAAUAAAAGCUAAAAUUCAAAACUGGACAAGAUAUAAUUUGAAGAAAACACUGCCACUGGAUAAGGCCAGGAGUCAUCAGUGAAGCAGACUGUAAGGGCAUGCAGGAGGCGAGGGACAUGUUGCCUCACUGCGUCUGUGGUGAGCUUGAGGGCAAGUUCAGCAAUACAGGCACAAGCAGCUUCCCGCACUGCAUGGUUGUCUGCACCUGUUGCCUCAAUGUAGUAACUCACCUGAGGGAAGAACAGUAGCAAGUGAAUUUAAGUGCAAUGAUCCAAACUACAACUACAAGGGAAGAUCUGAGCAAGAGUAGCAUGAUGUCAAUAAAAACUGAUAUAUAAAUGGAAGAUAACAAGCAUUCUCUUACCACAGAAUCAAUGUACUUCUCCACCAGUGUCUUGCCCUCAGCACCAGUCACCUGCCGCCACGUCUCUUGGGAGUACAGACGAACACCUUCUGCUACGUAGUACCUGAUGGAUGUCAUUAAGUUUUGUGUGUGUGUGUGUGUGCGUGCGCGUGCCCACCUGUUGAGGCAGAGACGAGGCAGCAGUGUUGGGUAGAAGCGCUCACGGGCUGCAGAUGGCAGCGAGAUCAAGAACUUGCGUGUGGCCACUGAAGAUGCUAAACGGACCUGGGCAGACCCCACAGGAUGUCCCAACCCCCCUCCCAUGUCACUCACCACAGCCUUCAACCAUAAAAGCCACUCCCACUCACCUGACUCCAGUUGUCAGCAAGGCCUUUUCCAAGAUGCUGUGUCAGCUGAUCACCAAACGUAAACAUGGGGUUGCUCUCCAGCAGUUCAGCACCCUCUGUGGAGAGCCAAAAGCACAUCCUGCAGCAACUACAAGGCACCUGAUACAAGAGAGGCAGGUGCCACAUGGCUGUCACUCACCCUCAGCUCCACAGGACACCAGUGCUCCACACACACUGAAGCCCGUCUCCCUCACAAAGCGGUUGGUGUGGGUCAGAGCUUGAAAUAUGAGGUCCAGCAAUUCCUGAGGGUCAAGAAGAGGAUAAGGAAGCAAGUCUGUUGAAAAAAGGAUUAAGAGAAAGCACAUUUAUUUAAUUCUCUCUUCUUACCUGGUUGAUGAAGGAAAGGAACUUAUGUCCUGUCCCAAUAAUCAUGUGCUCCAGACACUUCAUGCUGGUCUCAAGAUUCCUCCAGCCAGCCGUGUCAUGGAAGAUUUGUGCUGCAUCUCCACUGUUUCUCUGCAAUUGUUAUUGAGGCACAUCAUUAUUCACAUGCGCACAUAAGCACAAACACACUGGGAUUGCUCAAAAUAAGGAUUAAAUAAAGUUGCUUACUAUG
This 1610-nucleotide long non-coding RNA is filed under the name Portunus trituberculatus (swimming crab). Its description in RNAcentral is "uncharacterized LOC123501646, transcript variant X1". The record is from RNAcentral. Lineage: Eukaryota; Metazoa; Arthropoda; Malacostraca; Decapoda; Portunidae.